RNAcentral lists this ribosomal RNA (301 nucleotides) under uncultured bacterium. RNAcentral's name for it is "partial 16S ribosomal RNA". It matches the Rfam family "Bacterial small subunit ribosomal RNA", at positions 509 to 807 of the family's 1533-position model. The record is from RNAcentral.
CAGCAGCCACGGGAAUACGUAGGGUGCAAGCGUUAAUCGGAUUUACUGGGCGUAAAGCGUGCGUAGGCGGCUUUUUAAGUCGGAUGUGAAAUCCCUGAGCUUAACUUAGGAAUUGCAUUCGAUACUGGGAAGCUAGAGUAUGGGAGAUGAUGGUAGAAUUCCAGGUGUAGCGGUGAAAUGCGUAGAGAUCUGGAGGAAUACCGAUGGCGAAGGCAGCCAUCUGGCCUAAUACUGACGCUGAGGUACGAAAGCAUGGGGAGCAAACAGGAUUAGAUACCCCUGUAGUCCCUGUCUCUUAUAC